GACGAACGCUGGCGGCGUGCUUAACACAUGCAAGUCGAACGGAAAGGCCCUGCUUUUGUGGGGUGCUCGAGUGGCGAACGGGUGAGUAACACGUGAGUAACCUGCCCUUGACUUUGGGAUAACUUCAGGAAACUGGGGCUAAUACCGGAUAUGAGCUCCUGCUGCACGGUGGGGGUUGGAAAGUUUCGGCGGUUGUGGAUGGACUCGCGGCUUAUCAGCUUGUUGGUGUGGUAGUGGCUUACCAAGGCUUUGACGGGUAGCCGGCCUGAGAGGGUAACCGGCCACAUUGGGACUGAGAUACGGCCCAGACUCCUACGGGAGGCAGCAGUGGGGAAUAUUGCACAAUGGGCGGAAGCCUGAUGCAGCAACGCCGCGUGCGGGAUGACGGCCUUCGGGUUGUAAACCGCUUUCGCCUGUGACGAAGCGUGAGUGACGGUAAUGGGUAAAGAAGCACCGGCUAACUACGUG
Molecule: ribosomal RNA, 468 nt
Filed under: uncultured bacterium
Lineage: Bacteria
Description: partial 16S ribosomal RNA
Rfam family: Bacterial small subunit ribosomal RNA
Source: RNAcentral